Molecule: non-coding RNA, 72 nt
Organism: Ameiurus melas (black bullhead)
Lineage: Eukaryota; Metazoa; Chordata; Actinopteri; Siluriformes; Ictaluridae
Source: the annotation of a GenBank genome assembly
UCCCUGGUGGAGUAGUACCUAGCAUGCGGCACGCUCAUCGUUGUGGCCUGGGUUCGAUUCCCAGUCAGGGAA